UUGAAAGGGAAACGAUUGAAGUCAGUCGUACCAGCGGGAAAUCAACCUUUCGAGUGGGGGUUUUGGAGUUUUGAAGAGUGUCAAAACCUUUGAGAUUUCGAAAUUUUCGCUCCUUUGGUGUACUUUCUCGUGGGUAGGUUAACAUCGAUUUUGAUCAUCAUAAAAAGAUUGGAGGAAUGUAGCUUCGAUCUUGUAUUGAAGUGUUAUAGCCUUUGGUAAAUGUGAUGAUUAGGAUCGAGGAUUGCAACGAAUACCCUUUUGGGCUAUCCGCCUGAUCUCUGAUACGUGGCCUUGGUAUCGAAAGCUUGCUUNNNNNNUNNNGGUAUUACGGUCAAAAGGUUAGAACGGAUUNCAUUCGUUAAGGAUGUUGACGUA
This 375-nucleotide ribosomal RNA is filed under the name uncultured Glomeromycotina. RNAcentral describes it as "partial large subunit ribosomal RNA". Lineage: Eukaryota; Fungi; Glomeromycota. The record is from RNAcentral.